RNAcentral lists this ribosomal RNA (405 nucleotides) under uncultured bacterium. RNAcentral's name for it is "partial 16S ribosomal RNA". It matches the Rfam family "Bacterial small subunit ribosomal RNA", at positions 30 to 525 of the family's 1533-position model. The record is from RNAcentral.
AUUGAACGCUGGCGGCAUGCUUUACACAUGCAAGUCGGACGAGUGGCGAACGGGUGAGUAACAUAUCGGAACGUACCGAGUAAUGGGGGAUAACUAAUCGAAAGAUUAGCUAAUACCGCAUAUUAUUCGAGCGGCCGUUAUCUGAUUAGCUGGUGGGUGGGGUAAAGGCCUACCAAGGCGACGAUCAGUGGCGGGUCUGAGAGGAUGAUCAGCCAACCGGGGACGAGGAAACGGCCCAGAUUCCUACGGGGGGCAGCGGUGGGAAAUGUUGGACAAUGGGCGAAAGCCUGAUCCAGCCAUGCCGCGUGUCUGAAGAAGGCCUUCGGGUUGUAAAGGACUUUUGUCAGGGAAGCGGUACCUGAAGAAUAAGCACCGGCUAACUACGUGCCAGCAGCCGCGGUAAUC